RNAcentral lists this ribosomal RNA (1081 nucleotides) under uncultured Rhizaria. RNAcentral describes it as "SSU rRNA". It matches the Rfam family "Eukaryotic small subunit ribosomal RNA", at positions 577 to 1674 of the family's 1831-position model. The record is from RNAcentral.
CGGUAAUUCCAGCUCCAAUAGCGUAUACUAAAGUUGUUGCAGUUAAAAAGCUCGUAGUUGGAUUUCUGUGGGGACGGAGCGGCCGGUCGCAACUUGCGAUUCGAGCUAGCGCUUUCCCUACAUCCUGCCGCGAACCGUGCUACCAUUAGUUUGGUGGCGCCGGGGAUCGGCUCGUUUACUUUGAGAAAAAUAGAGUGUUCAAAGCAGGCCACACGCCUUGAAUAAGUUAGCAUGGAAUAAUAAUAAAGGACUUCGGUUCUAUUUUGUUGGUGUUCGGGACUGAAGUAAUGAUUGAUAGGGACAGUUGGGGCGGUCAGUAUUCCAAAGCGAGAGGUGAAAUUCUUAGACCUUCGGAAGACUAACAGCUGCGAAAGCGUUCCGCAAGGAUGUUCCCUUUGAUCAAGAACGAAAGUUGGGGGAUCGAAGACGAUCAGAUACCGUCGUAGUCUCAACUAUAAACUAUACCAGCUAGGGAUCGGCCAACGUUAAAUUAAUCGACUUGGUCGGCACCUUAUGAGAAAUCAAAGCAUCUGGGUUCCGGGGGGAGUAUGGUCGCAAGGCUGAAACUUAAAGGAAUUGACGGAAGGGCACCACCAGCCGUGGAGCCUGUGGCUUAAUUUGACUCAACACGGGGAAACUUACCAGGUCCAGACAUAGUAAGGAUUGACAGAUUGAUAGCUCUUUCUUGAUUCUGUGGGUGGUGGUGCAUGGCCGUUCUCAGUUGGUGGAGUGAUUUGUCUGGUUAAUUCCGUUAACGAACGAGACCCCAGCCUGCUAAAUAGCGCGGCUGAGCUUUGCUCGGUGCGAGCUUCUUAGAGGGACUAUGAUGCGCGAUAGCACAUGGAAGUUUGGGGCAAUAACAGGUCUGUGAUGCCCUUAGAUGUUCUGGGCCGCACACGGGCUACACUGGCGCCUGCAACGAGCAUAUCAGCUGGCCCGAGAGGGUCUUGGCUAAUCUUUUGAACCGGCGCCGUGCUUGGGAUUGACCAUUGCAAUUGUUGGUCAUGCAACGAGGAAUGCCUUGUAAACGCGAGUCAUCAACUCGCAUUGAAUACGUCCCUGCCCUUUGUACACACCGCCC